Molecule: non-coding RNA, 74 nt
Organism: Podarcis lilfordi (Lilford's wall lizard)
Lineage: Eukaryota; Metazoa; Chordata; Lepidosauria; Squamata; Lacertidae
Source: the annotation of a GenBank genome assembly
GCCUGGAUGGUUUAGUUGGUUAGAGUGUGGUUCUGACAAUGCCAAGGCUGCAGGUUUGAUCCCCGUAUGAGACA